UACAGAGGGUGCAAGCGUUAUUCGGAAUUACUGGGCGUAAAGCGUGCGUAGACGGUUAUGUAAGUCGGGUGUGAAAGCCCCGGGCUCAACCUGGGAAUUGCAUUCGAGACUGCAUAGCUAGGAUGCGGAAGAGGGAAGUGGAAUUUCCGGUGUAGCGGUGAAAUGCGUAGAUAUCGGAAGGAACAUCAGUGGCGAAAGCGACUUCCUGGUCCAGCAUCGACGUUCAGGCACGAAAGCGUGGGGAGCAAACAGG
Molecule: ribosomal RNA, 253 nt
Filed under: uncultured bacterium
Lineage: Bacteria
Description: partial 16S ribosomal RNA
Rfam family: Bacterial small subunit ribosomal RNA
Source: RNAcentral